AGCGAACGCUGGCGGCAGGCUUAACACAUGCAAGUCGAGCGCCCCGCAAGGGGAGCGGCGGACGGGUGAGUAACACGUGGGAACGUACCCUUUGGUUCGGAACAACCCAGGGAAACUUGGGCUAAUACCGGAUACGUCCGUAAGGAGAAAGAUUUAUCGCCAAAGGAUCGGCCCGCGUUUGAUUAGCUAGUUGGUGAGGUAAUGGCUCACCAAGGCUACGAUCAGGAGCUGGUCUGAGAGGAUGAUCAGCCACAUUGGGACUGAUACACGGCCCAAACUCCUACGGGAGGCAGCAGUGGGGAAUAUUGGACAAUGGGGGCAACCCUGAUCCAGCCAUGCCGCGUGAGUGAUGAAGGCCCUAGGGUUGUAAAGCUCUUUUAGCAGGGAAGAUAAUGACGGUACCUGCAGAAAAAGCCCCGGCUAACUUCGUGCCAGCCGCCGCCGUAA
Molecule: ribosomal RNA, 447 nt
Filed under: uncultured bacterium
Lineage: Bacteria
Description: partial 16S ribosomal RNA
Rfam family: Bacterial small subunit ribosomal RNA
Source: RNAcentral